UCAACCUUAACGCAAUCAAACAGACAUUUUAACCAGAUGAAGAAGGCUGAAGUUAGAUUCUCACGACUAGUCCAGGGGAUUAUUUGAGAGAAUUAAUCUACACAGUAACAUGCCACAGUACACCAAUACCCUAGGCUUUUACAUGAACUGCUUUAAGGCACGAUGACAGAAGCAGGAGAAACACAGAGCCCUGCAACCUUUGGCAGAAGUUUUCGGUAAGCACUGAUCUCCAUGUCCAGCGCUAAUUUGACAUCAAGCAGUUCCUGGUAUUCUGCAAGCUGCUGCUGCAUCUGGUCCCUCAUUUCCAUCAUUUCCCUCUCCUUGGCAUCUAGCAUCUUCCUGAACUUGUCCUGCUCACCAGCCAUCAUAUCCUCCAGUUCCCGAAUGCGAUCUUCUGCAACACUAGCCUAUGGUCACAGUAAAACAAGAAAUCAACUUGGCAUGUGUAUGGAGACAGAGGAGGAUACGUGAUUUCCCUAUGACAGAGCACUGCCACGGAGCUCCGUCUGCAGCCGAGAACGGUUGAGAAGGAACCAAGGGGACAGUGGGGGGGAGCGCAAGCUGCAGGAGGUGCCAACGGCUGCACGAGACUACUCCUGUGUGCUCCCUUCCCCCAACCAAGUACUGCUGCGAGAAAUCUCCGAUCUCUGGCGCAGGGAUGCAACGACGUGUAGAGUGGAGGAUCCACAGGGAAACCACUCAAAGAAGAAUAUUUACUUCUGCUCUUCUACUGCUGCCAGUUCACCUCUGCAUGCAUCCACACACAUGCUUGAUUUGCACACCAUUAUCAGGAAAGUGGGGGAAUAAAAAGUCGCCAGAUUAAGCCUGUUUAGCAACAAUAUUAAAAUACCAGCCUCAACAGGGUUCCUCAAACGUCGCAUCACAGAGAAACCAUACAUUGCAUCAAUUGUUGACAAUAGUUUUUUCAUAAUUCCGUUGCCUUAUGUAGAAAGGCAGGUUCUGCCAUGAAACCUGCAGCUGAAAUAGGAUAAUGGAUUGCCACUCAGUACAGAUACUUUUUAAAGUCUCCAGCAUGUAACAAGUUACUUGACUCAAGAGGGAGGACAUCAAAUUUGGAGCAUGGCCAAAAGUUAUAAAACCAGAAUACAAGCCUUUUCAGCAGUGAUGUAUUUUUUUUUUUUAAACACACACACAGGAACUAAUUAAUGGACUCAGACCAAGACCAUCAAGUUUCAUCCUGAUAUAAAUCUCCUUUUAGGGAAAUUAUAAAAGUGAGACUAUUUACACAAUUGCCACAUGUGUAAAUUAGCAUUCCCAUAAUGCUAACAUGCAGAGGAAUCAAAUUUUAGCAAUUGUUUAUCAAUAACGUUGAACUAGCAGCAGAGUUUCAGAUCAAACAUUAAAGAUUUAUUUGGAAAACCCUCCCUUUUGGCAUCAGCAAUGAUCCAGUCAGUGCAAAGCGAACUGUAAAGUAUUUCAAAUAAUUUCGCAGAAGUUAAAACAGAAAAAGAUGCUAAACAUUUGGCAUUUAUUCACAACAUGCAGUUUUAAAUCACCCAAUGAGAACCAUUUGGUAUGAGUGUGCUUGCCCAUAUUUACUAAAAGUACAUACAUUUGAAAGAGAAAUAUUACUAAAGCCAAUUUGCUGUAAGCGCGUUCUCCCUAAACUAAAUUAUAUAUAAUAGGUAUCACCUACAUUCAGAGGUAAUUUUAACAUAGGCAUGUAAUAUCUUGAACAUCAAACUUGUUUCACAUGCUAGACAGUGCUCCCAGAAUAAGGAUCUGUCUGCAAAAUAACAGAAAAACAGGAUGGGGAAGGUAUUGUUAAAACGUGGUUUCUUUUUUUCUGUUUGGAUUUAAAAUGUAUAUGCAUACACAUAUUCCCUAAAAGAGAAUAGUCUCAUUUAUAGAUGCAUAUACAUAUUCCCUAAAAACAGUCUUGUCUGUGUGGACAGAAAAAUGUAUUAUAGCCAUGUUUAACCCAAGUAGGCUAAAAACUCACUAACACGGUUAGAUGACUAGUGUACACAGGGAAAAAAAGCCAUGUUAUAACAGUUCAGGUACCACCAUGCAGAGUUCUGAAAUAUAAGCUAAGUGAAAAACUUCAUCACUGAAAUUUCAAGCCCUACUAAAUAAGCUGAUCUCCUUGCCAUUGAAAUAUUUUAGUUUAACUGAGAUUGUGGUUUACAGUAAUUUAAAUAUACUAAUCUCGCUGAUGGCAGAAUGCUCAAAUUGUCUGUCGGGAUCUUGCACUAGGAGUGAUUUAACAUACUCAAUAUUGAGCAUAUAGCAUUCUUUGGCCAGGGACUAUGGAUAGAAGAGAAGAGACGCUAUUUUGCAUCGUUGAUGCCCUAUCUUUUGGAUAAGUUUAAGCCCAGGUCAUUUCUGCCUGACUGUUUUAAUGACUGCAGAGAAGGAGGAUAAAGAUUGUCUGAAAAAGGGAUAACUCAGUCAUCCUUAUGUAAGCACUAGGAGAUAAAUCAUCAUGCAAAUCAUGCAGGAUCAGAGGAGAAAGGGGAAGAAAAGCAAGACAUUCAGGAACACUUCUCAAAAUAUUGGGGAAAAUGAGUUCUGUUUCUUUAAGUUUGAAGAAAUCAUACACCUCACAUUGCAAAGAAAUUCUUACUUCAUAGAAAACUUCCUUCCAAGACUGUCACCUCCUUUAUAUAACCAGGAUUCAGAAGCAGAAAGAUCGCUAUUAGCAUGUUUGCAUCCAGAGGCAAAGUUAGAUGCUCUAAUAUUAACUGUAAUACUCAAAAGACAACUAAUUGUACCAGUUUAAUUAGAAGCCAAUAAGUGAUCUUUUAGUGGAAGACAUCACUUUCUAAUUUAAAACUCUAUACUGAAAUGCCAGAAAGAUGCGUAUUAACCCAGUGGUCUCAACACAGGUACACUGUGGGAUUAUGGGUCAAUAGUAAUCCUAGGACUCUGCUGAAGCUGAUAAAGGCUGGACUCCUCCUGCAAACCAAUUUAAAGACAGCAUGGCCCCAGACACAGACACUAUGCUGAGAGUAAGACAACUUGGGUGAACUUGGCACAAGUCACUUCCCCUCUUUGACUCUCAGU
Caretta caretta (loggerhead turtle) is the source of this 3027-nucleotide non-coding RNA. NCBI's taxonomy places the organism in Eukaryota, Metazoa, Chordata, Testudines, Cheloniidae. The record is from RefSeq and is a predicted model, not a curated record.